RNAcentral lists this microRNA precursor (95 nucleotides) under Marmota monax (woodchuck). Lineage: Eukaryota; Metazoa; Chordata; Mammalia; Rodentia; Sciuridae. The record is from RNAcentral.
AGUAGAAUUGCUGGGCCAUAUGGUAACUCAUUGUUUAAACCUUUGAAAAACUAUUUUCCAAAAUGGCUGCACCAUUUUACAUUCCUGCUAGCAAG